GAUGAACGCUGGCGGCGUGCCUAAUACAUGCAAGUCGAGCGAACGGACGAGAAGCUUGCUUCUCUGAUGUUAGCGGCGGACGGGUGAGUAACACGUGGAUAACCUACCUAUAAGACUGGGAUAACUUCGGGAAACCGGAGCUAAUCCCGGAUGAUAUUUUGAACCGCAUGGUUCAAAAGUGAAAGACGGUCUUGCUGUCACUUAUAGAUGGAUCCGCGCUGCAUUAGCUAGUUGGUAAGGUAACGGCUUACCAAGGCAACGAUGCAUAGCCGACCUGAGAGGGUGUUCGCCCACACUGGAACUGAGACACGGUCCAGACUCCUACGGGAGGCAGCAGUAGGGAAUCUUCCGCGAUGGGCGAAAGCCUGACGGAGCAACGCCGCGUGAGUGAUGAAGGUCUUCGGAUCGUAAAACUCUGUUAUUAGGGAAGAACAUAUGUGUAAGUAACUGUGCACAUCUUGACGGUACCUAAUCAGAAAGCCACGGCUAACUACGUG
RNAcentral lists this ribosomal RNA (497 nucleotides) under uncultured bacterium. RNAcentral describes it as "partial 16S ribosomal RNA". It matches the Rfam family "Bacterial small subunit ribosomal RNA", at positions 28 to 507 of the family's 1533-position model. The record is from RNAcentral.